This 460-nucleotide ribosomal RNA is filed under the name uncultured bacterium. Its description in RNAcentral is "partial 16S ribosomal RNA". It matches the Rfam family "Bacterial small subunit ribosomal RNA", at positions 338 to 795 of the family's 1533-position model. The record is from RNAcentral.
CCUACGGGGGGCAGCAGUGAGGAAUAUUGGUCAAUGGGCGUAAGCCUGAACCAGCCAAGUCGCGUGAGGGAUGAAGGUUCUAUGGAUCGUAAACCUCUUUUAUAAGGGAAUAAAGUGUGGGACGUGUCCUAUUUUGUAUGUACCUUAUGAAUAAGGAUCGGCUAACUCCGUGCCAGCAGCCGCGGUAAUACGGAGGAUCCGAGCGUUAUCCGGAUUUAUUGGGUUUAAAGGGUGCGUAGGCGGCCUUUUAAGUUAGCGGUGAAAGUCUGUGGCUCAACCAUAGAAUUGCCGUUGAAACUGGGGGGCUAGAGUAUGGUUGAGGCAGGCGGAAUGUGUGGUGUAGCGGUGAAAUGCUUAGAUAUCACGCAGAACCCCGAUUGCGAAGGCAGCAUGCCAAGCUAUGACUGACGCUGAGGCACGAAAGCGUGGGGAGCAAACAGGAUUAGAUACCCGAGUAGUC